This is a long non-coding RNA of Pezoporus flaviventris, 5298 nucleotides long. RefSeq lists it as uncharacterized. The record is from RefSeq and is a predicted model, not a curated record. The transcript has 5 exons. Lineage: Eukaryota; Metazoa; Chordata; Aves; Psittaciformes; Psittacidae.
CAGACCUCUGUCAGAUGCCUUGGCCCCGAGUGAUUUUUCAACGUGCUAUGUUAACAGGAGUAAUGUGAAGAAAAUACCCUGAGUGAAAGAAUAGGACAGCUAAAGCUAAAGUUCCAUCAGGAAGGAGAUGCUUUAGAAAUGUGGGAGACAGCUAGACAAGGUUUAAAUGAUCUGCUUUGUAAGAGCGAGUAACAGUUGCCAGCAGCAAGGGGGAUACUAAGAAGAGCGCUGUUUUGACCUGCUUGCUUUGAAAUACUAUAUGGUUUUAAUAGUUUUCAGUUAGUGCAGACAGCAAAGCCUAGCUAUGAAGAGGCAAUAUAGAACUGCAGAGAGAAUGUGCCAUGUGCAGAAUAAACCCUGACAACAUAUUUUUUUUUAGCGAGGACUAAGAAAAGGGUAACAGUGGAAUAUACACAACUGCAAUUUUCUGAGGCUGGUGAUAUGGCUUUAAAGUUCUGGUGGCUGGGUUUCUUGUGAGGGAUUUGGUUGUGACUGGGGUUCAGGAAGAAAACCCAGGGUGAGCUAGAACAGUGUGCUGAAGUGACCAGGAACAAGCCCUGACUCAUAAAACUGACAGAAGUUGUUACCUACAGUGGGAUUUAUCUCCACUAGUCAUAGUUAUCAAAAAGUUAGAUGCCUGGUCUACACUAAUCUCUCAGGCUCCUGAACAAAAGGCACAAAAGGCAGCUCCAGAGGUUAAUGAAUCCCAGCUAUUUGGAAGACAGCUUAAAUCAGAAGGAUCUGCCCUCCCAAAGGAGCAAAAAACAAAUACCAUGAAUGAUACCUCCUUACUUUUUCCACAGCUGCAGCAAUGUGAAAAGAAUCCCUCUUAUGACCCAGGCUGAUGCUCAUGAGAAAAACACAAUGCUCUCACACAACAGACAUGCUGGAACUGUCAAAAUGCCCUGCUAUGUAUGUGUGGCUGGGGGAGGAGGGAAACAAAACUGCUUGUGUUUUCUAAAAUACAAUAACACCAACCUUGGUGGAAGGUGGAGACAGACAAGGAUGUCCCAGAAAGCUUUUCAUAUGGAAGAAGGUAUACACCUCGUCUCACUCCAUCUCUCAAACUACCACCUGGACAACCAUGUAAUCUUCACCAUGACACAGCAGUAUGGUUCUAUUUCUCUGGGUUUUUUCCUCACCCAGUAGCUCAAAGUUGCCAUUGUAGUCAUAGAUUCACCUGACUCUGUGGUUUCAAGGAUGGUGGUGUGUGUCAGUGGACUCUAUAGCCUGCCAGUUUUCUAAGAAUUGUAUCAUCAUAUGCUGUGUGGACCUGUUCUCUCCGUCUCAGAGAAUCAAUUAGCAAUGACUUUAGCACCAUGUGGAUAUGCAGUCAUCUCCUGUGAUGCCACCAUCCUUCAGUGAACUUGAAAUGUGGCCUUACCAAUAGUAUAACUUUGCUAAAACUUAAAAAAGUUUGGACAAUGAUUGAAAUAUUUCAUGCCCUGGUCAAGACAGCUGAAAGACUGAGGACUGCUGGAUGAGAGAGUAAUCCUCUGGUAAUCAGAACAUGGAUGUGAAAAGUUCAGCCAUCUUUCUGUGUUUCAGGUUCCUGAUAAUAUACCAGUUCUCUAAAGGCAAGAGGCUCAACAGGCAAAUUGACAUGGAUUUUACUGAAAUCAGCUAUCUAAGUUAUACCAGAUGAGACUUUGCUUGGAGAAAUCAAAAGCAAGCCUCUCUGGAAAGUAAUGACUGAGGUGGAGAGGAUUGCAAGACCCAACAAAUAAACUGGUGAUUCCUUGACUUCAUUGCUUCUUCCAUAAUGAACAGUAUUCUUCUCCUGGGUAGGUGGAAAGGUGUGCAUCAGCACUGCUGCCUGGCCAGAGCUUGUUGGGAAAUGUAGUUUGGCUGAGGGGCAAAGUCCCCAACAAAGAACAGGAAGAGGAUGGACUUGAGACCUCUGGAGUCAAGCUGUGAUGCCCCUUCAGAACUGAAGUAUUUUAACUAGUUUCUUGGUUUGCCUGCUCAGGUUUUCAAUGAAAACUUGAAAUGUUCUGUGGAAAGCAGAACCAUUUCAGGAAUAAUUCACUGCCACUGAAAGAUCCAUUCUCUACUGCAAACAGUUUGAUGUAGAACUUUUCUGUUGGUUCCAAUUAGGACAAAAGUAGAGUGCUCUCUGUGCUAUCCUGGGGGCUCAAAAGGCAACCUAGCUGUUGUCCUGUAUCUUUGGUAGCAAUACAUGUUUGAUCAGCUUGUGUACUCAAGAUACAGGCUUGAUAAAAGGGAAACAAGGCCUAGUUUGCUGAAAGUCCCCUUGAAUUCUCCUCAGAAAUUAUAUGACUUGCCAUUCUUUAGGCCAGCGAUAAAGCUUUUUCUUCAUACCCAUUUCUUCCUUGCAUGUUUAUGUUGAGCAAACCCUUAUGUUAGUUCACUCAUUUGACUGAAGGUUUUCCAAUUCUGGCAUUGCACUAGGCACAUCACCUGCUUAAGUGAUAUUUUUCACAGAGAUAGAAUCAUAGAAUGGUUGGGAUUGGAAAGGACCUUAACGGAUUAAAGUAUCCAAAUACCUUUAAGUUGGUGUGUCUCUAAACAAAACGCUGUAAUAAUUAAUGGGGAGAUAUACUGUAAAAAUAAUUAUCCCAGUUUUGGUGUAAGAGAGAAUAUUGAGACUACCAGUUGCUGCAUGAAGAGCUUCAGUUGACAGGUCACCACAAGCGACCAUAGCUGGUUUGGGAAGCUCUGAGUGUGUAUUAAUCUCUGUUUCAGCAGAAUAUGUGCCUUUCAGUCCUCAAGACUUUCUGAGUCAGCAGGUGCCUUAUCCAUGCUUGUCUUCCCAGUUUUCUGCCUGAUUCCUGGUAUACGGGCAACAUUUGGUGGCACAUAAGCCUUGUGGCUGCUUUCAUCAUUUUGUCAAAGGGAGAGAAAUAAUGAAAGAGCUGCUGCAAGAAAACAAACGGCCAAAUAGCUGUUGAGGAAGGAGGUUCCAACUCGCUGGAGUUCAGCUUAUUACAGGCCAUAUGCCUGAGUGGCUCCCCUCACCAAGUGCUGCACCCAGCUAUGGAAACAAGUGUGAAAACGCCUGUGGUUCAUCAGGCCUGAUUUGCUAUAAAUAUGUGCAACUGCUGGGAGAACAAUAAGAAGCUGAAGUGGCUGUGGGGUUAACAGGAGAGAAUCCAUUAGAAAUACAACGUUAAUAAACACAUUUCCCAAAUAUUUAUGUAAAGAUGUUAACAGGCAAUAAUAAUUUGUUUUCCAAGCUCACAGCAGAUGUUUUUCUUUUAGUACGCAGGCUAUAUUCAUAAAUGAUGCAGCUUACUUAAGUAGAGAAACAAAUUGAUACACUCUUCUUCUUUAUUUUUAAAUAUCAUGGGGUUGAAUUAAUAGUUAGCCUUGACAGAUAUCAGUAGCUCAUGCCAUUUCCAGCUAUACCCAAUGUUUGCAGGGUUUGCAGUGUAAAUGAGGGACUAAACACAUGACUCAGCUCCUGAAUGAUGGAUGUGUUAAAGAGACUGAAUGACAGAGCUGGCAGAAUAAGGAGAACAGCAAGUGUGGAAGAAAUCUGUUUCUAACCUGGCAUUUCAAUUAUCUUUACUUGGCAGAGCUCCUCCUAAGAGCACUGAAGGCUCAGGCCCCAGCCAACCAUUCCAUUUGGAUGUUACGAAAUCUUAAUUAUCUAUCAAAGGCAAGUGACCAUCAGCACCAAGAGCUUGUUCUACAGCUGCCAUAUUCCCCAUCCUCUAUACAGAACACUUUUUUUCUCAUAGUGCUUAGCUGCUGAAUGACUUAUUCUGGAAGACAUCUUCCUAGUAACAUGGCUUUGCUAAUUCAGAAAAAGUAUUCUAAUCCAAUCCAAUAAGACAUGUACAUUUAGUUAUUCUGGAGGAGCUCUGUUUCAUUUAAUUUAUACUCCCCCUCUAUGUGAGAGACUCCUGCCCUACCUUUGAAACCUUUAACAUUUAUUUUCUUUUUUGGUGUCCUUUGCGUCCCCUUUUAUACUGCCCGCUUGUAAGCUUUUUUACUUGUGUGUGUCUUGCUUAACUUUCCCAGCAGCAUAUCAAGUAAGAUGCACUUUAUAAUUGAAAUGAGCUGUGAUGACAGCUCUGGUCUGUCUCUGUUUUGAUUUGAAAUGCUGUUACGUGAAAUGCUAGGAAGGUGUCUAGACAUGGUGCAGGGUAGGCACCACAUGCACACUGUUAGCAGACAAUAACUAAUUCUUCAGUGCCAGUUGCUUUCCUCCUCCAUGUUAGUUCAGAGGCAAAAAGGGUUGUGUGCCAAUCUUUCCACCUGCACAGGAUGGCUUUAUCCAUCUUUUUUUUUAACAAUAAGCAAAACUAAACAUAGGAAGUCUGUUUCUUAGAAAUUGAAAAGUCAUCUUACCAGUUUCAUUAAAAUGUGCCAUUUUUUGCCUCUGUGUCACAUAAGGGUCCAUUAAUUAUCCUGCUGUCUCUGAACAUGGCUCCAAAGAACAGGGUGACCACCUUUUUCAAUAAAAUUGCAGAUUUACAAUUUUCCAGCUCAGUGAAUUUCUAGUAUUUAAAUAUAUUGAAAGGCCAAUGCCAGGCUUCUCUGCCUUCCUGUGCAUUUUGCUGGGAAGGGGGUGCUAGAAGGGUGCAUGAGCAGAGAAUGAAAAGGGGUAGAGGAGAAAAAACUGGGCAGACAGAUAUGAUGGCAUGAAAAUCUUGCAAAAUAGAAGGGAUUAGAGUGCCUGGAGAGACCUGAAGUUCAGAGGGGGCUCUUGGUGCCUCCUCAACCCUCUCCUUGCUCCCAAGCAGGAGAGAUGAACAUUACUAGGAUACCAGACAGGGCAAAGCUGAUCUCUUCUGAGAAAUGGUCCAUCACUGUGACUGUAAGAUGAGGUCCAAUCUGGUCUAAUUGCCUUCUGCCUCUUUGCGAGUUAACUUGCUGAGGGGAUAGCAGGAGAGCAAGACACAAACUCUGCACUCAAAUCCAGGUAGGUUUGACACAGCCAUUCAGAAGUGUGGGAUGAUUCAUUCUUCCUGUCUGCUUUUCUGGGUUGGGAAGGGGAAAGAUGAGCCUACGCAGGAUUUUCCUGCUGUUGUCUGCAAUUGAAAAUUUGUUUUCUCCAUCUGCAAAACUGAACGUUCUUCUGGCAACAGAGAACUCAGGAAGAAGAAAAGUGGGGAAUAAAGUAAAGUGACUGAAGAAAGAAAAUUAAUUGUGAACUAAAUAAAAAAUAUCAGGAGGAAGAAGGAUGGGGGCUAAUGACAAAAGCAGAGCUGGGGUCUGCAUUUUUUGCCUGUAGAUUGUGAUCCUGGCAUAUAACUAAACAACCUCUUGUGGCUGCCUUGCUUGAGUAUGACAGCCUUUCUUACAGACACAAAAUAAUCAAACAUCCAA